AGUGAACGCUGGCGGCGUGCCUAAUACAUGCAAGUCGAGCGAACAGAUGAGGAGCUUGCUCCUCUGACGUUAGCGGCGGACGGGUGAGUAACACGUGGAUAACCUACCUAUAAGACUGGGAUAACUUCGGGAAACCGGAGCUAAUACCGGAUAAUAUAUUGAACCGCAUGGUUCAAUAGUGAAAGACGGUUUUGCUGUCACUUAUAGAUGGAUCCGCGCCGCAUUAGCUAGUUGGUAAGGUAACGGCUUACCAAGGCAACGAUGCGUAGCCGACCUGAGAGGGUGAUAGGCCACACUGGAACUGAGACACGGUCCAGACUCCUACGGGAGGCAGCAGUAGGGAAUCUUCCGCAAUGGGCGAAAGCCUGACGGAGCAACGCCGCGUGAGUGAUGAAGGUCUUCGGAUCGUAAAACUCUGUUAUUAGGGAAGAACAAAUGUGUAAGUAACUAUGCACGUCUUGACGGUACCUAAUCAGAAAGCCACGGCUAACUACGUG
Molecule: ribosomal RNA, 497 nt
Filed under: uncultured bacterium
Lineage: Bacteria
Description: partial 16S ribosomal RNA
Rfam family: Bacterial small subunit ribosomal RNA
Source: RNAcentral